RNAcentral lists this ribosomal RNA (497 nucleotides) under uncultured bacterium. RNAcentral's name for it is "partial 16S ribosomal RNA". It matches the Rfam family "Bacterial small subunit ribosomal RNA", at positions 28 to 507 of the family's 1533-position model. The record is from RNAcentral.
GAUGAACGCUGGCGGCGUGCCUAAUACAUGCAAGUCGAGCGAACAGAUAAGGAGCUUGCUCCUUUGACGUUAGCGGCGGACGGGUGAGUAACACGUGGGUAACCUACCUAUAAGACGGGGAUAACUUCGGGAAACCGGAGCUAAUACCGGAUAACAUUUGGAACCGCAUGGUUCUAAAGUGAAAGAUGGUUUUGCUAUCACUUAUAGAUGGACCCGCGCCGUAUUAGCUAGUUGGUAAGGUAACGGCUUACCAAGGCGACGAUACGUAGCCGACCUGAGAGGGGGAUCGGCCACCCGGGAACUGAGACACGGUCCAGACUCCUACGGGAGGCAGCAGUAGGGAAUCUUCGGCAAUAGGCGAAAGCCUGACGGAGCAACGCCGCGUGAGUGAUGAAGGGUUUCGGCUCGUAAAACUCUGUUAUUAGGGAAGAACAAAUGUGUAAGUAACUGUGCACGUCUUGACGGUACCUAAUCAGAAAGCCACGGCUAACUACGUG